This 111-nucleotide ribosomal RNA is filed under the name Sinocyclocheilus grahami. The record is from RNAcentral. Lineage: Eukaryota; Metazoa; Chordata; Actinopteri; Cypriniformes; Cyprinidae.
CCCUCUGUCUCUCUCUCUCAGGAAACUGGUUGCCCACUGAAGCUAAGCAGGGUUGAGCCUCGUCAGUACCUGUAUGGGAGACCUCCUGGGAAAACUAGGUUGCUGCUGGAA